CACAGAUCGUUUUUAAAACGUUUUAAAAACGUUAAAAAACGUUUUCAUAAGUUUUUUAAACGUUUUAAAAACGUUUUGUGCUUACUGGGAAGCAAGUUCCAUAAUUUUGGGCCUCGGCAAAAUAAUGAAAAAUCAGCUUGUUUUAAUAAAGUUUUUGAUAUAACAAAGUUAUUUAUUAAGUAUUUAGUUAGUUGUUUGUGGUUUAAAAAAAAACAAUAAGCAAUUCGAUUUCUCUCAGUAAUGGUCUGGCACUAGAGUAUUUAUUUGCAUGUAAAAUCAAACAACUUGCUCGUUCAAAACUUCUUGAUUAACAGUAUUAAACAAUAGGCUAAUGUUUGUUUAGAUAAAGAAUACUUGGGUAUCAUCAGCAAAAAGAACAAAGUUAAGUAUCUUGGAAGAUAAGUGGACAUUAUUAAUAUAAACAAAAAAUAACAAUGUACCAUGACCAAGACAAAUGGACCAAUUGGUUCUUGUGGGACCCGACAAUAUUCAGUUUACAAAGAAGAAUCUCGAGAUCAAACGUGUCAGAAACUAAUAAAUAAAAAAUUAUAAAAGAAAUAACUUUCUAUUAAAUUUUUAUUGCAGAUCUCUGUUAAUUUAAAAACUACAUUACAACUACAAAUACAAUUUAUAGUAUAAAGUAUUUAAUAAGUUCAUAUUGCAUACAAAAUUUAUAUUGAAAAAUAAAGAAACUUUUAGUAUGAAGAAGGUCGAAUUUAUUAAUUAUUUCAAUUUUAAGUUAGAUAUGAGCUCACUAAAUAAACUUUUUGAAGGAAAAAUAUAUUGCCUAUUUGAAAACCGUUUAUAGUCCAUAUUUGUUGAUUAAAUUUAUUAAUCUAAGAUAAAAGUAUAUAGCUUUAUAGUUGAACUAUAAGUUAAUAUUUGAUAACUAUAACUAAACAGCUAUAGUUAUCGAAUAGCAUAAAAAUUGACAACUUAAACUGUGAUUUUUUUUUAACCAUUUUGAAAAUAUUUAUAUUCACGCAUGAGUAAAAAUAAAACACGGAGAAGAGAAUAAACCUCCUUUAGAUGAGGACGUCUAAUGGACGUCCGAGGACGUAUUAUUUAAAAUUUGGUCGUUUUUGGACGUCCAUUAGACGACCAAAGACGUAACAUUUUGGACUUAGACGAAUGGAUCUAAACGGUUCGUCCUAUAGACUUCCAGGGACGUCCUGAGCCGAUUGGGUAUUUAUUAUCAAGGCUGUCAACAAAAGCAAUACGUUGCCAAAAUUUCUAUCCUUUUGCAGUGAAAAAUCUUGUUUCUUUUUAAAAUGCUAGUCCACGGAGACUGCUAUCAAUCGGAUCAAAUUAAUCUGGUAUCAGCAAAUCAAAUUAGCAGAUGCCCAAAAUGAUGUCAAUGGUUUGUUCAAAUAUUUAAUAGAAGAGCUUGACCGUUUGCGAGAAUUAGUAUAGAUUAAAAAAAGAUCUUAGCAAAAUCUUUGAUUGGUUUAGAUUGCGAUUUAGUAACCACCUGUUCACAAGCAACGGAUGCUGGUUGUAUUAUUCAGAUUUUAGAUCCUAAUUUUGAAAUUUACGUUGAAAUUAAACUAUUUUGUAAUAGUUAGAAUAUAGUUAUAAAAAGCUUUCCUUUACA
Long non-coding RNA from Hydra vulgaris (swiftwater hydra), 1594 nucleotides. RefSeq lists it as uncharacterized. Lineage: Eukaryota; Metazoa; Cnidaria; Hydrozoa; Anthoathecata; Hydridae. The record is from RefSeq and is a predicted model, not a curated record.